RNAcentral lists this long non-coding RNA (3448 nucleotides) under Heterocephalus glaber (naked mole-rat). Its description in RNAcentral is "lncRNA (ENSHGLG00000048363.1)". Lineage: Eukaryota; Metazoa; Chordata; Mammalia; Rodentia; Bathyergidae. The record is from RNAcentral.
UCUAGAUUGAGGCCUAGCAGCAAACUUUUAAGGACAUAAAUUGGAUGGGCUCCAGUGAGUUACCUAACCAGGUUCCACUUAGUGAAAGCUCCAGAGUCUUCAAAUGCAGAAUGAUCGUUACACUGCUGUAACCUGGAGACAAGCAGCUCAUCUAGUGAUUAAUGCAAACUGAGGCCUUGAUAAUUUCAUUAGCAGAAGUCAAAUCAAGACAAAUAAGUCCCCAAGGCUUCAUUGGCUACCAAGUCAAGUUGCUGGUACAAAUGUUGACUGUUAACUACAUUUUCCAGGCAACACACAGUUACCAUACAAGUGGGUGGUCCUCUGCAUCUGUGGACACCACAUCUGUGUAUUCCAUCCACAGAGGAUCAAAAAUAUUUAGGAAGAAACUUCAUAUAUAUGGAACAUGUGCAGAGUUAUAUCGUUGUCAUCAUUCCCUAAGCAAUUAGUAUAUAAGCAUUAUGAAGCAUUUCCAAUGGUAUAAGUAUUUAAGUAACCUAUAAAUGAUUCAAAGAAUGUGUGUAGGUCACAGGCCAUUGCACUUGAGCAGGUAGAGAUUUGGGUAUCUGAGGGGGUUUCUGGAAUCCAUCCUCACAUUCACCAAGGAACAACCACAUAUUUACAAAAACAAUUCUGUUCCACAAUGUUUUAGGAUGGGGCAGCAGGAAGGCAGGGAUGUGAGGAGGGCUGGAAUGAUUCUUGGUGCCAUUGUAGACAUCCCAGCCAGCCUGGGCAGGAGACAGGAGGGCCAAGUACAGGCCAGCUGGCUGCUGCUGUGUCACCACAGACCAUCCAAGCUCAUUGUUGUGAUGUCUUUCAACUAUUCAUGGUAACACAAGACAGUGGAGAGAGUCCUAUUCCUUCUCAGCAUUCCAGUUAGGUAGGGCUCUGGCCACAUUUCUGAAAAACAAAAACACUGUUAGGUAAAAAUGAACACUUCCACCUGCCUAAAAUGAAGUCCCCAUGGCAGAAAGAGACCCAGUAGGUUCACGAUUGCAGAAUCAAAAUACAGCUGUUUACCCAGCAAUACCUGAAGCCAGUCCUCUCUGAUUUGUGCCUAACAUCACUGAAGAAAAUUCAGCUGCAGUUGUGACUAAGUUGGCUAACUACUUUUGAAUGUCGAUUAUUUUCCAUAGAUGUCAUCAAAACAAAAAUGUUUUCCAACAGAGAUACCAGUGCUAAAAACGCCCAUGUACAAUUUAAUGGGAAAUACAUGAAAAUUCCAUAUACAAUAGAUACAUUUGAAAAAGUAAACAAAAAUGAAUAGUUUUCCCAAAAAAGAGAAGUUUAAAAUCAACGAGGAAAAUGUUCCUAAAUUGUCAAGGAAGAGAUAAUUUCCAUGGAAUGUAAACUGCUCCAAAGUGAAACAGGACUCACUCCAGCCCCAUCCCUGCUAGUCCAAACCAGGCCCUGUCCAGGUGUGGCACUGGGCACCAGCCUUCAGCUUUGGCCCUGAAUUGCACUGGCAGCCACUGAAUAAGUGAUGGAUCACAUAGAAUAAGCAUAUGUCUGGGAGCUCCUGGGUCCUGAGUGAAGGGGUGGAAGAGCCCCAUGGCAGCUGAUGGAGUAAGGAACCCCUACACAGCUUCCUGGUGUAAACCAUAACUGUCUCUGUGAUUCACUUCCCACCACCAUCUCCUAGGUAGUUGGUGAGGGAUUCAAAAGGUGACACAAAGGAAUCCUCCAGAAUGAAGAACAAGAAAGGAUGACACCAGUGGUGACUACAAGAACGCCCUCCCUGAACCUGGUGGGAAGUGACCCAUGAAGUCACUGAAGAAUGAGAGCCAAGACCAAGAAGCAGGGGUCUCCAGGCCCUGCCCCCAUGACCUUGGCCAUGGGUGGGGGUUGAGGGGCCCUCAGCCAGCUUCCAGUCUUUAUCUCCUAGUGCUUUCUGGCCAACAUUUCUGACCCAGAGGAUGACACCAGCCCCAGCUCCUCCUUCCAUCUUCUCUCCCAGAUCAUCUCUAGGUCAUGCACAAAGACUUUAGCAAAGCUCUUGCUGGACAAAUAUGUCAGCCUACAGGGGCUCAUGGGUCAUUUCUUCCUCCUAGACAGAGCCUGCCUGAGCUUAACUGGUCACAGAAUUACCUGGGCAUAGGUUAUGCAGAUACCUUGGCCCAGUCCCAUCUACAGAAUCAAGGGUCCCCCAGGAGGACUAGGGAACAUAGAUCUCUAACAAGUGUCUCAGUCAUUUGCUUCCUUAUCACCCACCAGCCAGAGGGCCCUAAGAGCCCUUUUGUAGUAGAGCACAGGCCCCUGAAUUGCUGAGAAAGGGAUGCAUAUCCAUGUCAAUUGGGAUGCCACCAGUCUCCUUGAAAAAGUCAGACUCUGACAUCCUCACACUAUCCUGAUGACAGAGUAAUUGGACUACAGAGCAAUGUCCUGACCCAAGGGCUCUAUGUCCUAGAAGCUCAGGCUUCCUGGUUGUUCAGCAGUUCUGCUCUGUCCUCUGUGACACAGCAUGCAGCACAGGGGAUGACAACCCUGAGCAUGACUCAUCCCGACCCAAGGCCACCAAGCCUGGAGACCUGCAGAGGCCUCAUUUUCAUCUUCCUAGAUAUUUUCUGGGCUUUCAGAAUAAUAAACAUCUGCAUAUUCAGAAAGGGUCUUUGGAUUUGUACCAGUGACCAGAGCAAGGCCAGUUUCAUUGGCCAGAAGCAGAGUUUCAGAGCUACCCAACCUGAGCACACUUGUGGGCAUCCUCUGAGGGACCGCUGGGUGGUCACUGGUACCACUGGUGGGUACCACUGGUGGGUACCAGUGGUGGAUGCUCACUGUUGCCCCAGGCAUGACACUUGUAGAUGAGGAUAGUUUCUUUUAACAUCUAUUUUGUACUCUAAAUUCUGACAUCUCUGGGUUGGAAGGGGCUUUUAAAUGUCACCUGGUUUCUUCCUACUGCACCUUGACUGCCCUCCAAGGCACAUGCUCCACAUCAUCCUUGGUGCACGUGGUCUGUACUUGUUGUACAUGGGGUGUACUUGGCUGCUUCCAGUGACAGGAACUCACAGCUUCCUUGGGUGGCCCAGUCUUUUCCCAAAAAGUGAUUCACAGUGUUCACCCUUAACUGAGCCAAAAUCUACCCUCUUGUGUCCACUGCAGUCUGUCAUCUAGGGCUACAACAUUUGUCCUUUCCCAAUAGCAACGUUUGGUAUCAUAAGCAGCCCACCUAUUCCACUAAAAUUUCUGCCAAAGUUAGAGGUCCCCAGUCCUUCCAACUGCCCCUCCUGGAACCUCAUCAGGGGCCAUGGGCUCUGCCUCUGAACAUGAUCCCGUUCAUAAACUCCAGGGUGUGGCCCCAGGAGUAAAGGGCACACCCUGGAAUUCAAGAUCAGGGGGAUGACACAGGGUGGGCUCUGAGCUCACACAGAUGGGAGGUGGAUCCUGGCUCUGCCCUGUGCUGGCUCCAUGACGCUGAGCUAACAUUCUCUCUCCCUCUCUCUCUCUCUCUCUC